CACCAUUUCAACCCCCUUUUCUCUCUAUAAAUUGAUGCAGUCUUCCCCAUUUUUUUUCAAACCUAAAACCACACUUAUAGCCUACUACAAAGAUACAUCUUCCGCAACUCGAAAUCCUGCAGACGCAAGAGCAAAACCAAGGGAGAAAACGGAAGCAGAAACUGUUUUUCGGGACAGAAAAGUGAGCUGUAAAUUGUAUAUUUCUAGCUACCUUCUACCUUCUUAGGCGUGAGUAAAUUUUGUUUAUAUGUUCUUAUAUGAGGUAGGUAACUGUUAAUAGGUUCAGUUUAUACUUAUUUGAGGCGAGAUAAUGCUACUCCACAGCCUUGUUUUUGCUUUCAUAUAUAACACAUAUUAACCGUGGAGUUUGAGAUUCAGUUUUUAUCUGUCAAUGAGAGGACAUUGACACUUGCGUUUUAUUGGGAAGAAGUUACGCAGUGUAAUACCACCUUUAUAUUAUCUCUAAUUGUUAAAAUCAUCUGAUGUGCGAAUACUGAACGGGUCAGCCCAAGCUGGAAAUUAAGCCACUCAAGCCUAGUUUAUAUUUACGAACCUAAAAUUAGGCAAGCUUGGCUCAUCUACUUUUCAAGUUUGAACAGUCUUUGUAUAAGUUGUUUUCUAACAGAGCUCAAGUAUGUUAAUUAAUUUACAUGUUAAUUAAUAAAUAUAUCCUUUGCUUUAUGUUGUUAGGGUUUGCUUUCAAAAUUUCUCAUGAACUUGACGUGUCCCUGUAUUUAUGUUUUCAUUAACUGAACUAUUUGUUUAGAGUAAGAAACUCCAAUAAUUCAAAUUGUAAAACAUAUCUUGAGUAAUGUUCUAACACCCAAUUCGGGUCUAACAAUCGAUCAUAACAUGUGCAACUAUAAUGACUAUAGGUGUAUAGAUAGUUUGCUAAAUAAAUAUAUCGUUUGCUUGAUAUUGUUAGGCUUGCUUUCAAAAUUUCUUAUGAACUUCGGAAUGAAAUCUAUCUUCUCCUCGUAUUUAUGUAUUCAAUAACUAUAUUAUUUAUUUAUAGCAAGAAACUCCAAUAAUUAAAAUUGUAAAAUAUGUAUCUUGAGUAAUGUUCUAACAACUCAAUUCAGAUCAAUCGAUCAAUCAUAACGCGUGCAACUAUUAUUACUUGGAAAUAUACAUCUUAACUUAUUCCUUCAAGUCCCAAGAAUUUGCUUUCUUAGCUUCAAUAAUACAACUAGAAUUGGCACAAUUCACUAUGUAGUCAGCUAGCAAGGCAAAAAGAAGAAUAGAACAAGAUAAAAAUCUUGGCUGGAUGAAUUUAAUGACGCACAUAAUUUAAGAGGGAGUAUGAUUGUGUCCAGUUGGGUGAAUCUUUAGUACUAUUGGCUCCGAAU
RNAcentral lists this long non-coding RNA (1349 nucleotides) under Olea europaea subsp. europaea. The record is from RNAcentral. Lineage: Eukaryota; Viridiplantae; Streptophyta; Magnoliopsida; Lamiales; Oleaceae.